AGAACGAACGCUGGCGGCAGGCCUCAAACAUGCAAGUCUAGGGGGUGCAGCAAUGCAUCACCGGCGGACGGGUGCGUAACACGUGGGAAUAUACCUUUCGGUACGGAACAACUGCGGGAAACUGCAGCUAAUACCGUAUACGUCCUUGCGGAGAAAGAUUUAUCGCCGAAGGAUUAGCCCGCGUUCGAUUAGCUAGUUGGUGAGGUAAUGGCUCACCAAGGCAACGAUCGAUAGCUGUUCUGAGAGGAAGAUCAGCCACACUGGGACUGAGACACGGCCCAGACUCCUACGGGAGGCAGCAGUUGGGAAUCUUGGACAAUGGGGGAAACCCUGAUCCAGCCAUGCCGCGUGAGUGAUGAAGGCCUUCGGGUUGUAAAGCUCUUUUACCCGGGAAGAUAAUGACUGUACCGGGAGAAUAAGCUCCGGCUAACUUCGUGCCAGCAGCCGC
This 448-nucleotide ribosomal RNA is filed under the name uncultured bacterium. RNAcentral's name for it is "SSU rRNA". It matches the Rfam family "Bacterial small subunit ribosomal RNA", at positions 26 to 518 of the family's 1533-position model. The record is from RNAcentral.